RNAcentral lists this ribosomal RNA (688 nucleotides) under Streptomyces cacaoi. RNAcentral's name for it is "bacterial SSU rRNA". It matches the Rfam family "Bacterial small subunit ribosomal RNA", at positions 340 to 1040 of the family's 1533-position model. The record is from RNAcentral. Lineage: Bacteria; Bacillati; Actinomycetota; Actinomycetes; Kitasatosporales; Streptomycetaceae.
UACGGGAGGCAGCAGUGGGGAAUAUUGCACAAUGGGCGAAAGCCUGAUGCAGCGACGCCGCGUGAGGGAUGACGGCCUUCGGGUUGUAAACCUCUUUCAGCAGGGAAGAAGCGAAAGUGACGGUACCUGCAGAAGAAGCGCCGGCUAACUACGUGCCAGCAGCCGCGGUAAUACGUAGGGCGCAAGCGUUGUCCGGAAUUAUUGGGCGUAAAGAGCUCGUAGGCGGUCUGUCGCGUCGGAUGUGAAAGCCCGGGGCUUAACCCCGGGUCUGCAUUCGAUACGGGCAGACUAGAGUGUGGUAGGGGAGAUCGGAAUUCCUGGUGUAGCGGUGAAAUGCGCAGAUAUCAGGAGGAACACCGGUGGCGAAGGCGGAUCUCUGGGCCAUUACUGACGCUGAGGAGCGAAAGCGUGGGGAGCGAACAGGAUUAGAUACCCUGGUAGUCCACGCCGUAAACGGUGGGAACUAGGUGUUGGCGACAUUCCACGUCGUCGGUGCCGCAGCUAACGCAUUAAGUUCCCCGCCUGGGGAGUACGGCCGCAAGGCUAAAACUCAAAGGAAUUGACGGGGGCCCGCACAAGCAGCGGAGCAUGUGGCUUAAUUCGACGCAACGCGAAGAACCUUACCAAGGUUUGACAUACACCGGAAAGCAUUAGAGAUAGAGCCCCCCUUGUGGUCGGUGUACAGGUG